Molecule: non-coding RNA, 666 nt
Filed under: Mus musculus (house mouse)
Lineage: Eukaryota; Metazoa; Chordata; Mammalia; Rodentia; Muridae
Source: RNAcentral
GAGGACCGUAUUCAUGGAAGAGGAUUGAACAGAAGCAGAUGAAUAUAUGGGAGAUGAAGUAGACAGUAUGUUGGAUAAAUCUGGAGUAAAGAACCCAGCAAUUGGUGAAGAUGAGGAUAUAUCGCCUCAAGUAAAAGGAGAUGAAGACAUGGGAGAUGAAAUUGACAGUAUGUUGGCUACAUCUGGAGGUCUUUUCUCCUGAGAACACGGGACUCCAGCAUCUUCGGAUUCUGCUCUUGGAGGUGUGAGUCCCUGCCUCUCUGCACAGGGGAACUUAUGUCUCUCCACAUGUCCGCAAAUGUCUACCCAAGAUUAUACAUCUUCCAAAGGCUUUCAAAUACUUCUUUACAUAAACAAGGGGUUUGCCCCACAUCCUCUAUAUUGCAGAAAACAAGACUAGGCUCUACCUCUGUAGAUCAAGCACGACUGAAAUCCGUGCUCUCAAAAGAUGCUGGGGAGAAAGAGUGCCAUUCUUCACAAAUGCUGAUGUGUGCAGCUGAACAGAGCGUUGAGGAAACGUCAGUGAUUUUAUAACUACUUAUCAUGUUGGGAGAUUGUUGUGAUGAUUGCCUGGACUCUCAGAUGUUACACAGGCUGCAUCAUUGGACUGAAAGUGAAUGGCCCAUGUGUUGCCACUGAUGUGAGCCAUUUGCCUGUUGUGCUUCA